Microcebus murinus (gray mouse lemur) is the source of this 104-nucleotide small nucleolar RNA. The record is from Ensembl. Lineage: Eukaryota; Metazoa; Chordata; Mammalia; Primates; Cheirogaleidae.
AUCCUUUUGUAGUUCAUAAGCGUGAUGAUUGGGUUUUCACGCACAUGCGUGAGAUGUGCCUCCCUCAAACCUUGUUACGACAUCGGCACAUUACCCAUCUGACG